CUGAUGGAUCUAAAUUGUUUUGGAAAUUUAGAAUGUGAAUUGACCCUAACCUAUCUUUAUUAUUUAUCUAGAGACAGAUGUACUGAAGAGCUGCUUGAUAGAUGCUGGAGAGAAAUAUGCCGGUUUCUAAACUGGAUGGGAGAUGCCAAGUGAAUAGUGCUCUUGAAUCAUGAUGUCUGAUCAGUGUGUAACGGAAGUAUUCAGCUACUAUCCAAGGUAUUCUGGAUGGCAUGGACGAGGAGAAGAGGAAAGAGACAAAGCCUGGCUCGUAUUUGGACAUUGUUGGGCUGAGGACUGUAAUCGAUCCCCCUUCUGCCCCAGCGCUAGAGUAUGCUGAGGAGCAGCUGUACAAGCUGAGAUGACACUUGAUUUUGAGUUAAAGUGUAUUAUAGUGGCGUGGCAGCACCCAUACAGGUAAGGUUGUGUCAUGACAUCUGUUUAAAGGUGGACCUUUCUAAGUCCUCUAAAAUCUCAUGCUUACUUGGAAUUGGUGCCUCAGGAGGAUGCAGGGUAUAGAUAGUGACCCCAAUCUGGAGUCUUUUGAGUCAGGGAUUCCAGAGAUAUU
RNAcentral lists this long non-coding RNA (565 nucleotides) under Chrysemys picta bellii (western painted turtle). RNAcentral's name for it is "lncRNA (ENSCPBG00000027023.1)". Lineage: Eukaryota; Metazoa; Chordata; Testudines; Emydidae. The record is from RNAcentral.